This 503-nucleotide ribosomal RNA is filed under the name uncultured bacterium. RNAcentral's name for it is "partial 16S ribosomal RNA". It matches the Rfam family "Bacterial small subunit ribosomal RNA", at positions 30 to 523 of the family's 1533-position model. The record is from RNAcentral.
AUUGAACGCUGGCGGCAGGCUCAACACAUGCAAGUCGAGCGGGGUGAUGGUGCUUGCACUAUCACUUAGCGGCGGACGGGUGAGUAAUGCUUAGGAAUCUGCCUAUUAGUGGGGGGCAACAUCUCGAAAGGGAUGCUAAUACCGCAUACGUCCUACGGGAGAAAGCAGGGGAUCAUUUGUGACCUUGCGCUAAUAGAUGAGCCUAAGUCGGAUUAGCUAGUUGGUGGGGUAAAGGCCUACCAAGGCGACGAUCUGUAGCGGGUCUGAGAGGAUGAUCCGCCACACUGGGACUGAGACACGGCCCAGACUCCUACGGGAGGCAGCAGUGGGGAAUAUUGGACAAUGGGGGGAACCCUGAUCCAGCCAUGCCGCGUGUGUGAAGAAGGCCUUAUGGUUGUAAAGCACUUUAAGCGAGGAGGAGGCUCUUUUGGUUAAUACCCAAGAUGAGUGGACGUUACUCGCAGAAUAAGCACCGGCUAACUCUGUGCCAGCAGCCGCCGUAA